GACGAACGCUGGCGGCGUGCUUAACACAUGCAAGUCGAACGGAAAGGCCCUGCUUGCAGGGUGCUCGAGUGGCGAACGGGUGAGUAACACGUGGGUGAUCUGCCCCUUACUUUGGGAUAAGCCUGGGAAACUGGGUCUAAUACUGGAUAGGACCAUGCUGUAGGUGGUGUGGUGGAAAGAUUAGUUUCGGUAAGGGAUGAGCUCGCGGCCUAUCAGCUUGUUGGUGGGGUAAUGGCCUACCAAGGCGUCGACGGGUAGCCGGCCUGAGAGGGUAGACGGCCACAUUGGGACUGAGAUACGGCCCAGACUCCUACGGGAGGCAGCAGUGGGGAAUAUUGCACAAUGGGCGCAAGCCUGAUGCAGCGACGCCACGUGGGGGAUGACGGCCUUCGGGUUGUAAACUCCUUUCAGCCAUGACGAAGCCCUUGUGGUGACGGUAGUGGUAGAAGAAGCACCGGCUAACUACGUG
RNAcentral lists this ribosomal RNA (469 nucleotides) under uncultured bacterium. RNAcentral's name for it is "partial 16S ribosomal RNA". It matches the Rfam family "Bacterial small subunit ribosomal RNA", at positions 28 to 507 of the family's 1533-position model. The record is from RNAcentral.